This 154-nucleotide ribosomal RNA is filed under the name Gloeophyllum trabeum. RNAcentral describes it as "5.8S subunit ribosomal RNA". It matches the Rfam family "5.8S ribosomal RNA". Rfam says of the family: 5.8S ribosomal RNA (5.8S rRNA) is a component of the large subunit of the eukaryotic ribosome. It is transcribed by RNA polymerase I as part of the 45S precursor that also contains 18S and 28S rRNA. Functionally, it is thought that 5.8S rRNA may be involved in ribosome translocation. RNAcentral also lists the same sequence under 1 other name. Lineage: Eukaryota; Fungi; Basidiomycota; Agaricomycetes; Gloeophyllales; Gloeophyllaceae. The record is from RNAcentral.
AACUUUCAACAACGGAUCUCUUGGCUCUCGCAUCGAUGAAGAACGCAGCGAAAUGCGAUAAGUAAUGUGAAUUGCAGAAUUCAGUGAAUCAUCGAAUCUUUGAACGCACCUUGCACUCCUUGGUAUUCCGAGGAGUAUGCCUGUUUGAGUGUCA